This 576-nucleotide ribosomal RNA is filed under the name Fusarium oxysporum f. sp. ciceris. RNAcentral's name for it is "eukaryotic LSU rRNA". It matches the Rfam family "Eukaryotic large subunit ribosomal RNA", at positions 74 to 664 of the family's 3401-position model. The record is from RNAcentral. Lineage: Eukaryota; Fungi; Ascomycota; Sordariomycetes; Hypocreales; Nectriaceae.
AUUGCCCUAGUACGGCGAGUGAAGCGGCAACAGCUCAAAUUUGAAAUCUGGCUCUCGGGCCCGAGUUGUAAUUUGUAGAGGAUACUUUUGAUGCGGUGCCUUCCGAGUUCCCUGGAACGGGACGCCAUAGAGGGUGAGAGCCCCGUCUGGUUGGAUGCCAAAUCUCUGUAAAGUUCCUUCGACGAGUCGAGUAGUUUGGGAAUGCUGCUCUAAAUGGGAGGUAUAUGUCUUCUAAAGCUAAAUACCGGCCAGAGACCGAUAGCGCACAAGUAGAGUGAUCGAAAGAUGAAAAGCACUUUGAAAAGAGAGUUAAAAAGUACGUGAAAUUGUUGAAAGGGAAGCGUUUAUGACCAGACUUGGGCUUGGUUAAUCAUCUGGGGUUCUCCCCAGUGCACUUUUCCAGUCCAGGCCAGCAUCAGUUUUCCCCGGGGGAUAAAGACUUCGGGAAUGUGGCUCUCUUCGGGGAGUGUUAUAGCCCGUUGUGUAAUACCCUGGGGGGGACUGAGGUUCGCGCAUCUGCAAGGAUGCUGGCGUAAUGGUCAUCAACGACCCGUCUUGAACAGGGGGAAACAACAA